UACGUAGGGUGCAAGCGUUGUCCGGAAUUAUUGGGCGUAAAGGGCUCGUAGGCGGUUUGUCGCGUCGGGAGUGAAAUCCACUGGCUUAACUGGUGGCUUGCUUUCGAUACGGGCAGACUGGAGGUAUGCAGGGAAGAACGGAAUUCCUGGUGUAGCGGUGAAAUGCGCAGAUAUCAGGAGGAACACCGGUGGCGAAGGCGGGUCUCUGGACAGUUCCUGACGCUGAGGCACGAAGGUCAGGGGAGCAAACGGG
RNAcentral lists this ribosomal RNA (253 nucleotides) under uncultured bacterium. Its description in RNAcentral is "partial 16S ribosomal RNA". It matches the Rfam family "Bacterial small subunit ribosomal RNA", at positions 524 to 776 of the family's 1533-position model. The record is from RNAcentral.